RNAcentral lists this ribosomal RNA (3031 nucleotides) under Listeria monocytogenes. Its description in RNAcentral is "23S ribosomal RNA". It matches the Rfam family "Bacterial large subunit ribosomal RNA". The record is from RNAcentral. Lineage: Bacteria; Bacillati; Bacillota; Bacilli; Caryophanales; Listeriaceae.
GGUUAAGUUAGAAAGGGCGCACGGUGGAUGCCUUGGCACUAGGAGCCGAAGAAGGACGGGACUAACACCGAUAUGCUUUGGGGAGCUGUACGUAAGCGUUGAUCCAGAGAUUUCCGAAUGGGGGAACCCACUAUCUUUAGUCGGAUAGUAUCCUUACGUGAAUACAUAGCGUGAGGAAGGCAGACCCAGGGAACUGAAACAUCUAAGUACCUGGAGGAAGAGAAAGAAAAAUCGAUUUCCUGAGUAGCGGCGAGCGAAACGGAAAGAGCCCAAACCAAGAAGCUUGCUUCUUGGGGUUGUAGGACACUCUAUACGGAGUUACAAAAGAAAGUUAUAAAUGAAGCGGUCUGGAAAGGCCCGCCAAAGACGGUAACAGCCCGGUAGUUGAAAUGGCUUUCCCUCCAGAGUGGAUCCUGAGUACGGCGGAACACGUGAAAUUCCGUCGGAAUCCGGGAGGACCAUCUCCCAAGGCUAAAUACUCCCUAGUGACCGAUAGUGAACCAGUACCGUGAGGGAAAGGUGAAAAGCACCCCGGAAGGGGAGUGAAACAGUUCCUGAAACCGUGUGCCUACAAGUAGUUAGAGCCCGUUAAUGGGUGAUAGCGUGCCUUUUGUAGAAUGAACCGGCGAGUUACGAUUUGUUGCAAGGUUAAGCGGAAAAAGCGGAGCCGUAGCGAAAGCGAGUCUGAAUAGGGCGCAUAAGUAACAGGUCGUAGACCCGAAACCAGGUGAUCUACCCAUGUCCAGGAUGAAGGUAAGGUAAUACUUACUGGAGGUCCGAACCCACGCACGUUGAAAAGUGCGGGGAUGAGGUGUGGGUAGCGGAGAAAUUCCAAUCGAACUUGGAGAUAGCUGGUUCUCUCCGAAAUAGCUUUAGGGCUAGCCUCGAGGUAAAGAGUCAUGGAGGUAGAGCACUGUUUGGACUAGGGGCCCUUCUCGGGUUACCGAAUUCAGAUAAACUCCGAAUGCCAUGUACUUAUACUCGGGAGUCAGACUGCGAGUGAUAAGAUCCGUAGUCGAAAGGGAAACAGCCCAGACCACCAGUUAAGGUCCCCAAAUAUAUGUUAAGUGGAAAAGGAUGUGGGGUUGCUUAGACAACCAGGAUGUUGGCUUAGAAGCAGCCACCAUUGAAAGAGUGCGUAAUAGCUCACUGGUCGAGUGACCCCGCGCCGAAAAUGUACCGGGGCUAAACAUAUUACCGAAACUGUGGAUGAACCUCUUUAGAGGUUCGUGGUAGGAGAGCGUUCUAAGGGCGGUGAAGUCAGACCGGAAGGACUGGUGGAGCGCUUAGAAGUGAGAAUGCCGGUAUGAGUAGCGAAAGAAGGGUGAGAAUCCCUUCCACCGAAUAUCUAAGGUUUCCUGAGGAAGGCUCGUCCGCUCAGGGUUAGUCGGGACCUAAGCCGAGGCCGAUAGGCGUAGGCGAUGGACAACAGGUAGAGAUUCCUGUACCAGUGCUAAUUGUUUAACCGAUGGGGUGACACAGAAGGAUAGGGAAUCGCACGAAUGGAAAUGUGCGUCCAAGCAGUGAGUGUGAGAAGUAGGCAAAUCCGCUUCUCGCNNNNNNNNNNNNNNNNNNNNNNNNNNNNNNNNNNNNNNNNNNNNNNNNNNNNNNNNNNNNNNNNNNNNNNNNNNNNNNNNNNNNNNNNNNNNNNNNCACGAAGCAUGAGCUGUGAUGGGGAAGGAAAUUAAGUACGGAAGUUCCUGAUUUCACGCUGUCAAGAAAAGCCUCUAGGAAGAGUAGUACUGCCCGUACCGCAAACCGACACAGGUAGAUGAGGAGAGAAUCCUAAGGUGAGCGAGAGAACUCUCGUUAAGGAACUCGGCAAAAUGACCCCGUAACUUCGGGAGAAGGGGUGCUCUAUUAGGGUGCAAGCCCGAGAGAGCCGCAGUGAAUAGGCCCAGGCGACUGUUUAGCAAAAACACAGGUCUCUGCAAAACCGUAAGGUGACGUAUAGGGGCUGACGCCUGCCCGGUGCUGGAAGGUUAAGAGGAGUGCUUAGCUUCGGCGAAGGUACGAAUUGAAGCCCCAGUAAACGGCGGCCGUAACUAUAACGGUCCUAAGGUAGCGAAAUUCCUUGUCGGGUAAGUUCCGACCCGCACGAAAGGCGCAACGAUCUGGGCACUGUCUCAACGAGAGACUCGGUGAAAUUAUAGUACCUGUGAAGAUGCAGGUUACCCGCGACAGGACGGAAAGACCCCGUGGAGCUUUACUGCAACCUGAUAUGGAAUGUUUGUACCGCUUGUACAGGAUAGGUAGGAGCCGAAGAGACGUGUGCGCUAGCAUACGAGGAGGCAAUGGUGGGAUACUACCCUGGCUGUAUGACCAUUCUAACCCGCCACGCUUAGCGCGUGGGGAGACAGUGUCAGGUGGGCAGUUUGACUGGGGCGGUCGCCUCCUAAAGAGUAACGGAGGCGCCCAAAGGUUCCCUCAGAAUGGAUGGAAAUCAUUCGCAGAGUGUAAAGGCACAAGGGAGCUUGACUGCGAGACUGACAAGUCGAGCAGGGACGAAAGUCGGGCUUAGUGAUCCGGUGGUUCCGCAUGGAAGGGCCAUCGCUCAACGGAUAAAAGCUACCCCGGGGAUAACAGGCUUAUCUCCCCCAAGAGUCCACAUCGACGGGGAGGUUUGGCACCUCGAUGUCGGCUCGUCGCAUCCUGGGGCUGUAGUCGGUCCCAAGGGUUGGGCUGUUCGCCCAUUAAAGCGGCACGCGAGCUGGGUUCAGAACGUCGUGAGACAGUUCGGUCCCUAUCCGUCGCGGGCGCAGGAAAUUUGAGAGGAGCUGUCCUUAGUACGAGAGGACCGGGAUGGACACACCGCUGGUGUACCAGUUGUUCCGCCAGGAGCAUCGCUGGGUAGCUAUGUGUGGCAGGGAUAAACGCUGAAAGCAUCUAAGCGUGAAGCCCCCCUCAAGAUGAGAUUUCCCAUUUCUUCGGAAAGUAAGAUCCCUGAAAGAUGAUCAGGUAGAUAGGUUUGGAGUGGAAGUGUAGCGAUACAUGGAGCGGACAAAUACUAAUCGAUCGAGGACUUAACCAA